RNAcentral lists this ribosomal RNA (466 nucleotides) under uncultured bacterium. RNAcentral's name for it is "partial 16S ribosomal RNA". It matches the Rfam family "Bacterial small subunit ribosomal RNA", at positions 28 to 505 of the family's 1533-position model. The record is from RNAcentral.
GACGAACGCUGGCGGCGUGCUUAACACAUGCAAGUCGAACGGAAAGGCCCUGCUUUUGUGGGGUGCUCGAGUGGCGAACGGGUGAGUAACACGUGAGUAACCUGCCCUUGACUUUGGGAUAACUUCAGGAAACUGGGGCUAAUACCGGAUAGGAGCUCCUGCUGCAUGGUGGGGGUUGGAAAGUUUCGGCGGUUGGGGAUGGACUCGCGGCGUAUCAGCUUGUUGGUGGGGUAGUGGCUUACCAAGGCUUUGACGGGUAGCCGGCCUGAGAGGGUGACCGGCCACAUUGGGACUGAGAUACGGCCGAGACUCCUACGGGAGGCAGCAGUGGGGAAUAUUGCACAAUGGGCGGAAGCCUGAUGCAGCAACGCCGCGUGCGGGAUGACGGCCUUCGGGUUGUAAACCGCUUUCGCCUGGGACGAAGCGUGAGUGACGGUAAUGGGUAAAGAAGCACCGGCUAACUACG